GUUAUUUGUUUCUAAGGCAACAGCGUAUAUCUAAGUACUAAUGGCCUGUCCUUUUGCCAGGCAACAAACAGCCUUGUGAUGCAACUGCACCUGUCUCGGCUACGCGUUACUAUGGAGACGCUCCAGUUGCUAUGGGUACCAUCACGCUAAUCGCCUAGCAAAGGCAGACAUACAGCAGUCUUCUCAGAGAGCCCAGCUGUUCCUCCCUGUCUCUUGCUAAAGACUGAUUGUCUAGGGCCUGUGAUGGAAUGCUUCUCAACUGAGAUGCACAAGAACUUCAUUAAUGCUAUUUCAGAAGAUCAUUUUGUGCUCCCUCCUGCAGAACAAACAGCAGACUAGGAAAAGAAUCUGCAGAGAAGUGGACUGCAAAAUUCCUGAAGCCUAUGACACCAUGCCAUCCCUAAUUAACCUCGACUUGCAGUCCAAGGAUAAUUCCUCUUAACUAGGUGGUUACGAAAGAAACAUUUCUAUACAUUUUUAAAUACGUUUUUGUAGAGUUGAGGAAUGCAUUUCAAACUCAAGCACUGUGUGUUGAUAAAAAUCUAUCUUAGAAAUUUGGUUCUGAUUAUUUGGCUCUCUUGUGGAAUAUAACAUUAAGACACUUUUUUUAAAAAAAAAAGUGACAGGCUACUUAUUUACCCUCCCUUCCAAUGAUGUAUUUGUAAAAAUGGUACCCAUGACCUUACUGUCUCAAACAAAUGGGCCUGUGAGGAGGAGAAAAUGUCUCUAUGGUUCUCUGCUGUUCUCCCUGAGGAAGCAAACACCAAGUAACCACAACAAAACGAUCACCUGGGAGCACCGUCCACAUGGAGACCGCGAAAGCCAACAGCCGAGUGAGCCUCCACUGGACGUCUGCAGAGACCGGCCAGAGGAAGGGACGACGGAGUCACCUGCUCGACUCGCGCCUGUACUUUUAUCCCCACAAAACGUGACACACAUCGAGAUGGGAAAGCUGUCAGCUUUUCUCUGUCCAUGUUUCUACUCAGGAAGGUGUUAUUUCACCCACUAUGAAGCCUCCUGGAAGCACAUUCCUCCGAAGCUGCAGAAGCGGUCUUUCAGAAAUGCACCUCUUAUAUCUUGGAACGCCCCUCCAUCCAAAAGAGAAUAUGGGUAGAACAUGUGGAGAAGGAAUUCUCUUAGGCCCAUGGUAGAAUGUGGCCAUUGGCCACGAGAUCACCAGUCACCCACUCUCCCUAAUUUUCAACAGGGAUCCCUCCUGGGAGUUUCUGGGUCGUGAGCCCAGCUUUUAGCCACAGCAUCAAGCCGACCGACUCAUCCACUUUUAAGGAGACACUGCCUCUACAGUGCCUCUCCACUCGAGCACAAGUACUCCAACCACGAAGGAGACCCCUUUCAACAAAGGGUGUCUGACACAGACUGCACCCUGAUGUGGCAGCACCGGGCUCCAAAAAUAAAUCCGAAACCAUCCCCGACCCACGUGAGAGGCUGCAGGGACCAAAUAACAUUGUCAGUGUUAUCAAUUCCUUCAGCGUUCUUGUCAGCACCGGUCAAGAUACGGACAAAACGCCCUGCGACCGAUGUGCCAAGGUUGCCAGGGAGAGGACAGGGGCACCAGGACAAACUACAGGUAAGAGGCUGCUACACCAGGGCUCCAGCAGGAACAGAGGGUCAGGGAGGCCGAACAGGGGUUGGAGGCGGAGGAUAACUAAGCACUGUGAUUCACGGGCAGGGGAUGGAGGAAAAAAUUAAGGAAACAGAAUCCACCCAGAAAGGCUAACUGACCUGGCCCCUGGGAACAGCGGCAGCAACCACGUGGAAAAGGCAGUGAUGCCUGAGCUACCUGUCCCCACAGCUGCACAGAGAGCCAGGGCUCAGCAGGCCGGGCUCCUGCCCCAGAGACCUGCCGUCAUCUCUCAGAGGCCUAUGGUGGAGAAUUUAAAAGAUCCUGGAGGGAUGGAAGUUCCCUGGUGUAGCCUGUCAUCCUCAUCCAGGGGGAGUAAGUGCACCCCUGCUUUGCUGGCUUCUUGCAUCCCUGCCUACCACUGAGAAGCUGUCCUCGCCUCGAUUUCUUCUUUUUGAGUCUGCCAUCUGUUCUUCUGCCAGGACCGUGACUGACAGAAUAAAAAACGGAAUUGAUUACCCUAGAAUUUCAUUCUUGGAAUCUACAUGCCACAAUAUGUACAUAAUAAUUCCCUUGCAAUUUCCACAAGUCAUAAAGGAUAGCAAUCAGGCAGGGAAAAAAAAUAUGCCACCAAAACUACCAUAAUAAUUUACUAUCCUGCAUACCUUGAAAGAACACAAUUCAUCUUCCUAAAAAGUGGAGUAAGCUUUGAAACAUGAAAACUCAAUUACAGUAUUAGGAAAGUAUGGAAUUACUAAAAAUAUUCUCUGUAGAAUUCCAUAUAGGUGCAUCAUCAAUGGUUGCUAUUAUGUUUCAGACUCGGUCUAACUGCAUAUAAAAAUUGCAGAUAGGACAUCAGUGUUAGUAAGUUUCCAAUUUGACAACAGCAGACUGAAACUAAAUCUUACCUGAGCCACUAUAUAGAGCUGGUAUUAACUACAUUUAGUAUAACAAGAAUUCAUUUAUCAUAACAAGAACACCAUACAAUCAAACUUUCUAAGAGUCUAAUACUUAAUAGUCAACCUCAUCCUGAAGACCACUAUUGUUUUAUAUUAGAUCAGGGUAACCCACAGGAAAUUAAAACAGGAUCCAAAGUUUCAAAUUUAAAAACUGUGAGCUGUCUCAUGGGGAA
This is a long non-coding RNA of Sapajus apella (tufted capuchin), 2714 nucleotides long. RefSeq lists it as uncharacterized. The record is from RefSeq and is a predicted model, not a curated record. NCBI's taxonomy places the organism in Eukaryota, Metazoa, Chordata, Mammalia, Primates, Cebidae. The transcript is spliced from 4 exons.